GAGUGACUUUAAAAUGUGAAAAAUUUAAAUGAAUAUAAAUCCUAAAUACACCCCAUAAUGUCCUCAAUGAGCUUAAAUUUUAAAGCCCUGAAUGGUUUCUGUAGGUCAAAGGUCAUGUGAGGAGAUAGGGGCUGAAGUUUUUUCAAGCGCUCUAGGAAAGGGUUUUAAGUGUCAUCCCCAGUGCUAUGUGUACUGAGCCUGGCUUCAUGUGUCUCAUAUGGCCAUUAGAAGCAGCUUUCCAGUCAGCUGUGUGUCUCCAGGUGCACUAAUUGGUUGCCAUGGGGACCUUGGAUGCAUAACUAUAGCAGGAGAAAGAAGGCUUGAAGCUAAGGAAACAGGACUCCAAGUAGGCCCUGACGCUCAUCCUCUGUAUCUAUUCCUGAUAAGGAGCUUGUGAGAACACAAGACUCUGCUAAACACAUUAAUACAAUUUAUUAUCACAAUCCUCAAAACACCCCAUAAUAUCUUCAAUGAGCUGAAUUUUAGAAGCCCAGAAUGGUUUCUGUAGCUCAAAGUUUGUGGGUGGAGAUAGGUGGUGAAGCAGACACAUAUUAACUGUGUGUACAAGCAGCUGAACUGCAAGGUAGACCUCAUAAAGCAACAAGUACAAGAAUGUGUGUGUGUGUGUGUGUGUGUGUGUGUGUCUCGUUAAUGACUGCAUCCUAAACAGCUGUGAGAUCAAAGGCAAAUCACUGACCUACUGUUUGAAUGAGAAGCAGCUGAACUGCAGAGGAUUUAGAGGCUCUAAACUUCUUCACAUAGCGUGAUUUCCUUAAGUCACAGAAUGAAAAUAAGAACAUCGUACGAAUCCUCCGCCCUUCAUGAACACAAUGAAGUAUUUUUCAUGUCUGUACUCCGACAGAUGUGGCCACAACAGCGAGUUAAAAAAGUCUGAGCCUGAGCGAUGAUCCGGAUUUUCUUGGAGAAAAUUAACAUUACGGUCAAUGGGAGAGAUUUCCGCCUUCUUUGGACAGUUGGUCACCUGCUGGCCAAGGGGUACGAUUUAAUGAUUUGAAACCUCUUUUGUGAGAAGCAGGACACAUAUACCUCCAUUUUGAUGUAUUAUUUGUGUCAGUGGAGUGAGAUUUGUGGGCGUGGGAGCGAUAUAUUCGAGCGAGGUUCUGUCGAUCAGAGACGAGGUCUGCACUCUAGCUGAUGACAUCAUCACUCUAAACUCUCCAAUACACACCCAUUAUAAAGCCUGAAAUUUGCUGAAAACCACAAGUUGCUUAAAGCUAAAUUGUGGAAAAACUGUAAGAGAUAUAAAAAAACUGAGUACAACUUUAAUAGUCGACAAGUGAAUGAACAUUUUAAAGCAAAAAUGAGGUCUCUAGGUGAAAGUAUGCUGAAGUUAUAAGGUCUAGAAGGUGGAAGAAUAAAAGGAAGAAUUGGAAGAUUUCCCCAUUGACUUCAAUGUUAAAAUUUUUGCACAAAAAGUUAAAAAAAACAAAAAGUAUAAAUGUUAGAAAAGUGAAAAGUAAUAGCAAACGUGUCCUGAAGGAGUGGAAUAGUUUAAAGUUUGAACGGUUGAAAUCGCACAAACUGGGAAGGAGUUGAAAGCGGACGAAAAACGGCGGAAGAAUAAUAAUAAUAAUAAUAAUAAUAAUAAAGAAACGGGAGAAUAACAAUAAGUGGAAAUGCCUAUCAGCAUUUCCACUUAAUAAUAAAGAAACGGGAGAAUAACAAUAAGUGGAAAUGCCUAUCAGCAUUUCCACUUAAUAAAGAAACGGGAGAAUAACAAUAAGUGGAAAUGCUUAAUCAGCAUUUCCACUUAACUAGAAAAAUUGCAUUUCCUUGCAGAAAAUGCGUGGAAAUGCUGAGUGCUGAAAGCUGAAAAAGCAAUGCUAAACUGCUAAUAAAACAUGGAGAAAGGUAUAAAUGUAAAAGCUGUUGAAGGGGGGAAAAAAUAUAUAAGUUAAAUAAUUGUAAAUAAGAGGUUGGAGAAUAAAUAGUACGAAUAUGCUCCUCAAAUUGAAAUUUGAUUCAUGCUGAAAGAGGCUGGAAAUUUUUUUACAAUUACACAAAGUUUGAAUGAAGAAGUAAAUUACCUUAAAAGGCAAGUACGUGAGAAGUGGCAUAAGUUUAAGUUGUAGUACUAGAAGUAGUAUGAUAAUAGGUAGUUGUAGUAGUGAUAUUAGUAGUCAUGUAAGCAGUAGAAGUAGUUUUAGAAUAGAAGAAGUAGAAGUCAAAGCAGUAGAGCUCGUGGUAGAAGUAAGAGUAGAAGUAAAAAAAUAUUAAGAGAAGCAAGAGCAGUGGAGGUAGAAGUGAAGAUACAAGUUAAGGUGACAUAAGUAGUAAUUGUAGUGGUAGAACUGGGAUUUUGCUUGAAGAAUCAAAACAUACAUAAAUAAUGAGAAUGAUUUUGAAGUGGGAAAAACUUUAAAUAAUUAGACGUCCUAAUGUGUUAAACAGGUUUGAAGUAUCCGAAAGGUUUGAAUCAGUUUGAAUGAGUUUGGAUUUGUCUGAAGCAUUUAAUAAUGCAUGAAUAAUGAGAAUAAUUUUAAAGUGGGAAAAAGUUAAAUGAAUAAAAAUCCUGAGUACACCCCAUAUUGUCCUCAAUGAGCUGAAUAUUUGGAAGCCCUGAAUGGUUUCUGUAGCUCAAAGUUUGUAGUCCUCGCUUUGUGGGUCUUUUCUCAUAGACCUCACAAGGCAGCAAGUACAAGAAUGUGUGUGUGUGUGUCUCUCCUUAAUGACUGCAUCCUAAACAGCUGUGAGAUCAAAGGCAUUAACUGACCAACUGUUUGACUGAGAAGCUCCUUAAGUGCAGUGAAUUUAUUGCCUCUGAACUUCUUCACAUAGCGUGAUUUCCUUAAGUCCAAGAAUGAAAAUAAGAACAUCGUACGAAUCCUCCGCCCUUCAUGAACACAAUGAUGUGUUUUUCAUGUCUGUACUCCAAGAAAUGUGGCCACAACAGCGAGUUAAAAAAGUCUGAGCCUGAGUGGCGAUAAGGAUUUUCUUGCAGAAAAAAUACAUUAGGGCUAAUGGGAGAGAUUUCCGCCUAUUUGAACAGUUGGUCACCUGCUGGCCAAGGGGUAGGAUUAAAUGAUUUGAAACCUCUUUUGUGAGAAGCAGGACACAUAUACCUCCAUUUUGAUGUAUUUUUUAUGUCUGUGGAGUGAGAUUUGUAGGCGUGGGAGCGAUAUAUUCGAGCGAGGUUCUGUCGAUCAGAGACGAGGUCUGCACUCUAGCUUUUCAAAUCCUCACUCUAAACUCUCCAAUACACACCCAUUAUAAAGCCUGAAAAUUUGCUGAAAACCACAAGUUGCUUAAAGCUAAAUUGUUGUGGAAGAACUGUAAAAGAUAUCAAAAAACUGACUACAACUGUAAUAGUCGACAAGACAAUGAACAUUUUAAAGCAAAAAUGAGGUCUCUAGGUGAAAGUAUGCAGAAGUUACAAGGUUCAGAAGGUGGAAGAAUAACAGGAAGAAUUGGAAGAUUUCCCCAUUGACUUCAAUGUUAAAAUUUUUGCAUAAAAAGUUAAAAAAAUCAAAAAGUAUAAAGGGUAGAAAAGUGAAAAGUAAUCGCCGUCAUGUCCUGAAGGAGAGGAAUAGUUUAAAGUUUGAACGGUUGAAAUCGCACAAAGUGGAGAAGAGUUAUAAAGUGCCAAAAAAUGGCGGAAGAAAAAUAAUAAUAAUAAUAAUAAUAAUAAAGAAACAGGAGAAUAACAAUAAGUGGAAAUGCCUAUCAGCAUUUCCACUUAACUAGAAAAAUUGCAUUUCCUUGCAGAAAAUGCGUGGAAAUGCUGAGUGCUAAAGCUGAAAAAGCAAUGCUUAAACUGCUAAUAAAACAUGGAGAAAGGUAUAAAUGUUAAAGCUGUUGAAGUAAUGAAAAAGAAAUAUAAGUUGGAUAAUGGUUUCAUUGGUUGAAGGACAAAUAGUAUGAAUAUGCUCUAUAAAAGGAAAUUUGAUUCAUGCUGAAUGAGGCUAGAAAAAUGUCUAAAAUUGCACAAAGUUUGAAUGAAGAAGGAAAUUGCCUUAAAAGGCAGGAAGGUGAGAAGUGGCAUUAGUUUAAGUUGUAGUACUAGAAGUAGUAUGAUAAGAGGUCAAGUCGUGAUACUAGUAGUCGUGUCAGCAGUAGAAGUAGUUUGAGAAUAAAAGAAGUAUAAGUCAAAAUAGUAGAGAAAGUAGAAACAGUAGCAAUAGCAGUUGAAGUAGAGAAAGUAGAAAUAGGAGCAAUAGCAGUUGAAGUAGAGGGGAAAGUACUAGUUAAAUUGACAUUAGCAGUAGUUGUCGUACUUGAGGUAGGAUUUUGUUUGAAGGAUGGAGUAAUGCAUGAAUAUUAAAACUAAUUUAAAACAUGGAAAAUUUAAAUACUUUAAAAUCCUCAAGUAUCAGUUUGAAUGAGUUUAAAUUAGUUUGAAAAAUUAAAUGAUAAAUCAUCACUGACUGACUUUUAAAAUGUGAAAAAUGUAAAUGAAUAUAAAUCCUGAAUACACCCCAUAAUGUCCUCAAUGAGCUUAAAUUUUAAAGCCCUGAAUGGUUUCUGUAGGUCAAAGGUCAUGUGAGGAGAUAGGGGCUGAAGUUUUUUCCAACGCUCUAGGAAAGGGUUUUAAGUGUCAUCCCCAGUGCUAUGUGUACUGAGCCUGGCUUCAUGUGUCUCAUAUGGCCAUUAGAAGCAGCUUUCCAGUCAGCUGUGUGUCUCCAGGUGCACAAAUUGGUUGCCAUGGGGACCUUGGAUGCAUAACUAUAGCAGGAGAAAGAAGGCUUGAAGCUAAAGAAACAGGACUCCAAGUAGGCCCUGACGCUCACCCUCUGUAUAUAUUCAUAAGGAGCUUGUGAGAACACAAGACUCUGCUGAACACAUUAAUACAAUUUAUUAUCACAAUCCUCAAAACACCCCAUAAUAUCUUCAAUGAGCUGAAUUUUUCAAGCCCAGAAUGGUUUCUGUAGCUCAAAGUUUGUGGGUGGAGAUAGGUGGUGAAGCAGACACAUAUUAACUGUGUGUACAAGCAGCUGAACUGCAAGGUGGACCUCAAAAAGCAACAAGUACAAGAAUGUGUGUGUGUGUGUGUGUGUGUCUCGUUAAUGACUGCAUCCUAAACAGCUGUGAGAUCAAAGGCAAAUCACUAACCUACUGUUUGACUGAGAGGUGCUGAACUGCAGUGAAUUUCAGCCUGUGAACUUCUUCACAUAGCGUGAUUUCCUUAAGUCCCAGAAUGAAAAUAAGAACAUCGUACGAAUCCUCCGUCCUUCAUGAACACAAUGAUGUGUUUUUCAUGUCUGUACUCCGAAAAAUGUGGCCACAACAGCGAGUUAAAAAAGUCUGAGCCUCAGUGGCGAUAAGGAUUUUCUUGGAGAAAAAAUACAUUAGGGCCAAUGGGGAGAGAUUUCCGCCUAUUUGGACAGUUGGUCACCUGCUGGCCAAGGGGUAGGAUUUAAUGAUUUGAAACCUCUUUUGUGAGAAGCAGGACACAUAUACCUCCAUUUUGAUGUAUUUUUUAUGGCUGUGGAGUGAGAUUUGUGGGCGUGGGAGCGAUAUAUUUGAGCGAGGUUCUGUCGAUCAGAGACGAGGUCUGCACUCUAGCUUUUCAAAUCAUCACUCUAGCCUCUCCAAUACACCCCUAUUAUAAAGCCUGAAAUUUGCUGAAAACCACAAGUUGCAUAAAGCUAAAUUGUGGAAAAACUGUAAAAGAUAGCACCAAGAGGUUAAUACAACAUCAAUAGUCGACAAGACAAUGAACAUUUUAAAGCAAAAAUUAGGUCUCUAGGUGAAAGUAUGCUGAAGUUAUAAGGUGUAGAAGGUGGACGAAUAACAGGAAGAAUUGAAAGAUUUCCCCAUUCAUUUCUAUGGGGAAAAAAGUUUGGCACAAAAAGUGAAAAAUAAUAAAAAGUAUAAAGGGUAGAAAAGAGAAAAGUAAUAGCCAUCAUGUCCUGAUGGAGCGGAAUAGUUUAAAGUUUGAACGGUUGAAAUCGGACAAAGUUUGAAGGAGGAGAAGCGGUCCAAAGAAACGUAUGGGGAGAGUGUUAAGUAUAAUACUAGAAAAAUUGCAUUUCCUUGCAGAAAAUGCGUGGAAAUGCUGAGUGCUGAAAGCUGAAAAAGCAAUGCUAAACUGCUAAUAAAACAUGGAGAAAGGUAUAAAUGUUAAAGCUGUUGAAGGAAUGAAAAAGAAAAAUAAGUUGGAUAACUACUUAAUUGGUUGAAGGACAAAUAGUAUGAAUAUGCUCUAUAAAAGGAAAUUUUAUUCAUGCUGAAAGAGGCUAGAAAAAUGUCUAAAAUUGCACAAAGUUUGAAUGAAGAAGGAAAUUGCCUUAAAAGGCAGGAAGGUGAGAAGUGGCAUAAGUUUAAAUUGUAGUAUAAGAAGUCAAGUCGUGAUACUAGUAGUCAUGUCAGCAGUAGAAGUAGAUUGAGAAUAAAAGAAGUAUAAGUCAAAGUAGUAAAGAAAGUAGAAAUAGGAGCAAUAGCAGUUGAAGUAGAGGGGAAAGUUCUAGUUUAAUUGACAUUAGCAGUAGUUGUCGUACUUGAGGUAGGAUUUUGUUUGAAUGAUGGAGUAAUGCAUAAAUAUUAAAACUAAUUUAAAACAGGGAAAUUUUAAAUUAUCAAAAGUCCUCAAGUAUCAGAAAGUUUUGAAGUAUUAGAAAGGUUUGAAUCAGUUUGAAUGAGUUUAAAUUAGUUUGAAAAAUUAAAUGAUAAAUCAUCACUGAGUGACUUUUAAAAUGUGAAAAAUUUAAAUGAAUAACAAUCCUAAAUACACCCCAUAAUGUCCUCAAUGAGCUUAAAUUUUAAAGCCCUGAAUGGUUUCUGUAGGUCAAAGGUCAUGUGAGGAGAUAGGGGCUGAAGUUUUUUCAAGCGCUCUAGGAAAGGGUUUUAAGUGUCAUCCCCAGUGCUAUGUGUACUGAGCCUGGCUUCAUGUGUCUCAUAUGGCCAUUAGAAGCAGCUUUCCAGUCAGCUGUGUGUCUCCAGGUGCACAAAUUGGUUGCCAUGGGGACCUUGGAUGCAUAACUAUAGCAGGAGAAAGAAGGCUUGAAGCUAAAGAAACAGGACUCCAAGUAGGCCCUGACGCUCACCCUCUGUAUAUAUUCAUAAGGAGCUUGUGAGAACACAAGAUUUUGCUGAACACAUUAAUACAAUUUAUUAUCACAAUCCUCAAAACACCCCAUAAUAUCUUCAAUGAGCUGAAUUUUUCAAGCCCAGAAUGGUUUCUGUAGCUCAAAGUUUGUGGGUGGAGAUAGGUGGUGAAGCAGACACAUAUUAACUGUGUGUACAAGCAGCUGAACUGCAAGGUAGACCUGACAAAGCAACAAGUACAAGAAUGUGUGUGUGUGUGUGUGUGUGUGUGUCUCAUUAAUGACUGCAUCCCUAACAGCUGUGAGAUCAAAGGCAAAUCACUGACCUACUGUUUGAAUGAGAAGCAGCUGAACAGCAGAGGAUUUGAAGCCUGUGAACUUCUUCACAUAGCGUGAUUUCCUUAAGUCCCAGAAUGAAAAUAAGAACAUCGUACGAAUCCUCCGUCCUUCAUGAACACAAUGAUGUGUUUUUCAUGUCUGUACUUCGAAAAAUGAGGCCACAACAGCGAGUUAAAAAAGUCUGAGCCUGAGCGAUGAUCCGGAUUUUCCUGGAGAAAAAUAACAUUAUGGUCAAUGGGAGACAUUUCCGCCUUCCUUGGACAGUUGGUCACCUGCUGGCCAAGGGGUACGAUUUAAUGAUUUGAAACCUCUUUUGUGAGAAGCAGGACACAUAUACCUCCAUUUUGAUCUAUUAUUUAUGGCUGUGGAGUGAGAUUUGUGGGCGUGGGAGCGAUAUAUUCGAGCGAGGUUGUGUUGAUCAGAGACGAGGUCUGCACUCUAGCUGAUGACAUCAUCACUCUAGCCUCUCCAAUACACCCCUAUUAUAAAGCCUGAAAUUUGCUGAAAACCGCAAGUUGCAUAAAGCUAAAUUGUGGAAAAACUGUAAAAGAUAGCACAAAAAGGUUAAUACAAUAUCAAUAGUCGACAAGACAAUGAACAUUUUAAAGCAAAAAUUAGGUCUCUAGGUGAAAGUAUGCUGAAGUUAUAAGGCUUAGAAGGUGGACGAAUAACAGGAAGAAUUGAAAGAUUUCCCCAUUCAUUUCUAUGGGAAAAAAAGUUUGGCACAAAAAGUGAAAAAUAAUAAAAAGUAUAAAGGGUAGAAAAGAGAAAAGUAAUAGCCAUCAUGUCCUGAAGGAGUGGAAUAGUUUAAAGUUUGAACGGUUGAAAUCGGACAAAGUUUGAAGGAGGAGAAGCGGUCCAAAGAAACGUAUGGGGAGAGUGUUAAGUAUAAUACUAGAAAAAUUGCAUUUCCUUGCAGAAAAUGCGUGGAAAUGCUGAGUGCUGAAAGCUGAAAGCUGAAAAAGCAAUGCUAAACUGCUAAUAAAACAUGGAGAAAUGUAUAAAUGUUAAAGCUGUUGAAGGGGUGUGAAAGAAAUGUAAGUUGGAUAAUUGAUUAAUUGGUUGAAGGACAAAUAGUAUGAAUAUGCUCUAUAAAAAGAAAUUUUAUUCAUGCUGAAAGAGGCUAGAAAAAUGUCUAAAAUUGCACAAAGUUUGAAUGAAGAAGGAAAUUGCCUCAAAAGGCAGGAAAGUGAGAAGUGGUAUAAGAUUAAUUUUUUAAGUAUUAGAAAGGUUUGAAUCAGUUUGAAUGAGUUCAAAUUAGUUUGAAAAAUUAAAUGAUAAAUCAUCACUGACUGACUUUUAAAAUGUGAAAAAUUUAAAUGAAUAACAAUCCUAAAUACACCCAAUAAUGUCCUCAAUGAGCUCAAAUUUUAAAGCCCUGAAUGGUUUCUGUAGGUCAAAGGUCAUGUGAGGAGAUAGGGGCUGAAGUUUUUUCAAGCGCUCUAGUAAAGGGUUUUAAGUGUCAUCCCCAGUGCUAUGUGUGCUGAGCCUGGCUUCAUGUGUCUCAUAUGGCCAUUAGAAGCAGCUUUCCAGUCAGCUGUGUGUCUCCAGGUGCACUAAUUGGUUGCCAUGGGGACCUUGGAUGCAUAACUAUAGCAGGAGAAAGAAGGCUUGAAGCUAAGGAAACAGGACUCCAAGUAGGCCCUGACGCUCAUCCUCUGUAUCUAUUCCUGAUAAGGAGCUUGUGAGAACACAAGACUCUGCUAAACACAUUAAUACAAUUUAUUAUCACAAUCCUCAAAACACCCCAUAAUAUCUUCAAUGAGCUGAAUUUUAGAAGCCCAGAAUGGUUUCUGUAGCUCAAAGUUUGUGGGUGGAGAUAGGUGGCGAAGCAGACACAUAUUAACUGUGUGUACAAGCAGCUGAACUGCAAGGUAGACCUCAUAAAGCAACAAGUACAAGAAUGUGUGUGUGUGUGUGUGUGUGUGUGUCUCGUUAAUGACUGCAUCCUAAACAGCUGUAAGAUCAAAGCCAUGAACUGACCUAUUGUUUGAAUGGAGAAGCUGCUGAACUGCAGUGAAUUUAGGGUUCUGAACUUCUUCACAUAGCACGAUUUCCUUAAGUCCCAGAAUGAAAAUAAGAACAUCGUACAAAUCCUCCGCCCUUCAUGAACACAAUGAUGUGUUUUUCAUGUCUGUACUCCGAAAAAUGUCGCCACAACAGCGAGUUAAAAAAGUCUGAGCCUGAGUGGCGAUAAGGAUUUUCUUGGAGAAAAAAUACAUUAGAGCCAAUGGGGAGAGAUUUCCGCCUAUUUGGACAGUUGGUCACCUGCUGGCCAAGGGGUAAGAUUUAAUGAUUUGAAACCUCUUUUGUGAGAAGCAGGACACAUAUACCUCCAUUUUGAUGUAUUUUUUAUGGCUGUGGAGUGAGAUUUGUGGGCGUGGGAGCGAUAUAUUCGAGCGAGGUUCUGUCGAUCAGGGAGGAGGUCUGCACUCUAGCUUUUCAAAUCAUCACUCUAGCCUCUCCAAUACACCCCUAUUAUAAAGCCUGAAAUUUGCUGAAAACCACAAGUUGCAUAAAGCUAAAUUGUGGAAAAACUGUAAAAGAUAGCACAAAAAGGUUAAUACAACAUCAAUAGUCGACAAGACAAUGAACAUUUUAAAGCAAAAAUGAGGUCUCUAGGUGAAAGUAUGCUGAAGUUAUAAGGCUUAGAAGGUGCACGAAUAACAGGAAGAAUUGGAAGAUUUCCCCAUUCAUUUCUAUGGGAAAAAAGUUUGGAACAAAAAGUGAAAAAUAAUAAAAAGUACAAAGGAUAGAAAGGAAAAAAAUACAAGCACACAUGUCCUGAUGGAGUGGAAUAGUUUAAAGUUUGAACGGUUGAAAUCGGACAAAGUUUGAAGGAGGAGAAGCGGUCCAAAGAAACGUAUGGGGAGAGUGUUAAGUAUAAUACUAGAAAAAUUGCAUUUCCUUGCAGAAAAUGCGUGGAAAUGCUGAGUGCUGAAAGCUGAAAAAGCAAUGCUAAACUGCUAAUAAAACAUGGAGAAAUGUAUAAAUGUUAAAGCUGUUGAAGGGGUGUGAAAGAAAUGUAAGUUGGAUAAUUGAUUAAUUGGUUGAAGGACAAAUAGUAUGAAUAUGCUCUAUAAAAAGAAAUUUUAUUCAUGCUGAAAGAGGCUAGAAAAAUGUCUAAAAUUGCACAAAGUUUGAAUGAAGAAGGAAAUUGCCUUAAAAGGCAGGAAGGUGAGAAGUGGCAUAAGUUUAAUUUUUUAAGUAUUAGAAAGGUUUGAAUCAGUUUGAAUCAGUUCAAAUUAGUUUGAAAAAUUAAAUGAUAAAUCAUCACUGAGUGACUUUAAAAUGUGAAAAAUCUAAAUGUAUAUAAAUCCUUAAUACACCCCCUAAUGUCCUCAAUGAGCUCAAAUUUUAAAGCCCUGAAUGGUUUCUGUAGGUCAAAGGUCAUGUGAGGAGAUAGGGGCUGAAGUUUUUUCAAGCUCUCUAGUAAAGGGUUUUAAGUGUCAUCCCCAGUGCUAUGUGUGCUGAGCCUAGCUUCAUGUGUCUCAUAUGGCCAUUAGAAGCAGCUUUCCAGUCAGCUGUGUGUCUCCAGGUGCACUAAUUGGUUGCCAUGGGGACCUUGGAUGCAUAACUAUAGCAGGAGAAAGAAGGCUUGAAGCUAAGGAAACAGGACUCCAAGUAGGCCCUGACGCUCAUCCUCUGUAUCUAUUCCUGAUAAGGAGCUUGUGAGAACACAAGACUCUGCUAAACACAUUAAUACAAUUUAUUAUCACAAUCCUCAAAACACCCCAUAAUAUCUUCAAUGAGCUGAAUUUUAGAAGCCCAGAAUGGUUUCUGUAGCUCAAAGUUUGUGGGUGGAGAUAGGUGGCGAAGCAGACACAUAUUAACUGUGUGUACAAGCAGCUGAACUGCAAGGUAGACCUCAUAAAGCAACAAGUACAAGAAUGUGUGUGUGUGUGUGUGUGUGUGUGUGUGUGUGUGUGUGUGUCUCGUUAAUGACUGCAUCCUAAACAGCUGUGAGAUCAAAGGCAAAUCACUGACCUACUGUUUGAAUGAGAAGCAGCUGAACUGCAGAGGAUUUAGAGGCUCUAAACUUCUUCACAUAGCGUGAUUUCCUUAAGUCACAGAAUGAAAAUAAGAACAUCGUACGAAUCCUCCGCCCUUCAUGAACACAAUGAUGUGUUUUUCAUGUCUGUACUUCGAAAAAAGAGGCCACAACAGCGAGUUAAAAAAGUCUGAGCCUGAGCGAUGAUCCGGAUUUUCUUGGAGAAAAAUAACAUUAUGGUCAAUGGGAGAGAUUUCCGCCUUAUUUGGACAGUUGGUCACCUGCUGGCCAAGGGGUAAGAUUAAAUGAUUUGAAACCUCUUUUGUGAGAAGCAGGACACAUAUACCUCCAUUUUGAUGUAUUUUUUAUGGCUCUGGAGUGAGAUUUGUGGGCGUGGGAGCGAUAUAUUCGAGCGAGGUUCUGUCGAUCAGAGACGAGGUCUGCACUCUAGCUGAUGACAUCAUCACUCUAAACUCUCCAAUACACACCCAUUAUAAAGCUUGAAAUUUGCUGAAAACCACAAGUUGCUUAAAGCUAAAUUGUGGAAAAACUGUAAGAGAUAUCAAAAAACUGAGUACAACUUUAAUAGUCGACAAUUGAGUGAACAUUUUAAAGCAAAAAUGAGGUCUCUAGGUGAAAGUAUGCUGAAGUUAUAAGGCUUUGAAGGUGGAAGAGUAAAAGGUAGAAUUUUAAGAUUUCCCCAUUGACUUCAAUGUUAAAAUUUUUGCACAAAAAGUUAAAAAUAUCAAAAAGUAUAAAGGGUAGAAGAGUGAAAAGUAAUAGCAAUAAUGUCCUGAAGGAGUGGAAUAGUUUAAAGUUUGAACGGUUGAAAUCGGACAAAGUUUGAAGGAGGAGAAGCGGUCCAAAAAAGGGACGGAAGAAUAAUAAGUUUAAUAAUAAUAAUAAUAAUAAAGAAACGGGAGAAUAACAAUAAGUGGAAAUGCUUAAUCAGCAUUUCCACUUAACUAGAAAAAUUGCAUUUCCUUGCAGAAAAUGCGUGGAAAUGCUGAGUGCUGAAAGCUAAAAAAGCAAUGCUAAACUGCUAAUAAAACAAGGAGAAAGGUAUAAAUGUUAAAGCUGUUGAAGAGGUGAAAAAGAAAUAUAAGUUGGAUAAAUGUUGAAAUUGUUGAAGGACAAAUAGUAUGAAUAUGCUCUAUGAAAGGAAAUUUUAUUCAUGCUGAAAGGGGCUAGAAAAAUGUCUGAAAUUGCACAAAGUUUGAAUGAAGAAGGAAAUUGCCUUAAAAGGCAGGAAGGCGAGAAGUGGCAUAAGUUUAAGUUGUAGUACUAGAAGUAGUAUAAGAGGUCAAGUCGUGAUACUAGUAGUCAUGUCAGCAGUAGAAGUAGAUUGAGAAUAAAAGAAGUAUAAGUCAAAGUAGUAGAGAAAGUAGAAAUAGUAGCAAUAGCAGCAGUAGAGAAAGUAGAAAAAGGAGCAAUAGCAGUUGAAGUAGAGGGGAAAGUACUAGUUUGACUGACAUUAGCAGUAGUUGUCGUACUUGAGGUAGGAUUUUGUUUGAAGGAUGGAGUAAUGCAUAAAUAUUAAAACUAAUUUAAAACAGGGAAAAUUUAAAUAAUGAAAAAUCCUCAAGUAUCAAAUGGUUUUUAAGUAUUAGAAAGGUUUGUAUCAGUUUGAAUGAGUUUAAAUUAGUUUGAAAAAUUAAAUGAUAAAUCAUCACUGAGUGACUUAUAAAAGUGAAAAUUUAAAUGAAUAUAAAUCAUGAAUACACCCCAUAAUGUCCUUAAUGAGCAUAAAUUUUAAAGCCCUGAAUGGUUUCUGUAGGCCAAAGUUCAUGUGAGGAGAUAGGGGCUGAAGUUUUUUCAAGCACUCUAGUAAAGGGUUUUAAGUGUCAUCCCCAGUGCUAUGCGUACUAAGCCUGGCUUCAUGUGUCUCAUAUGGCCAUUAGAAGCAGCUUUCCAGUCAGCUGUGUGUCUCCAGGUGCACAAAUUGGUUGCCAUGGGGACCUUGGAUGCAUAACUAUAGCAGGA
This is a non-coding RNA of Xyrichtys novacula (pearly razorfish), 13317 nucleotides long. The record is from the annotation of a GenBank genome assembly. Lineage: Eukaryota; Metazoa; Chordata; Actinopteri; Labriformes; Labridae.